ACCUACGGGAGGCAGCAGUGAGGAAUAUUGGUCAAUGGUCGGGAGACUGAACCAGCUAAGCCGCGUGAGGGAUGAAGGUACAGAGUAUCGUAAACCUCUUUUGUCAGGGAACAAAGGCGGGGACGCGUCCCCGGAUGAGUGUACCUGAAGAAAAAGCAUCGGCUAACUCCGUGCCAGCAGCCGCGGUAAUACGGAGGAUGCGAGCGUUAUCCGGAUUUAUUGGGUUUAAAGGGUGCGCAGGCGGUCUGUUAAGUCAGCGGUCAAAGCCCGGGGCUCAACCCCGGCCCGCCGUUGAAACUGGCAGG
RNAcentral lists this ribosomal RNA (305 nucleotides) under uncultured bacterium. RNAcentral's name for it is "bacterial SSU rRNA". It matches the Rfam family "Bacterial small subunit ribosomal RNA", at positions 337 to 640 of the family's 1533-position model. The record is from RNAcentral.